GGCCUUCGGGUUGUAAAGCUCUUUCGGCCGGGAAGAAAUCGUGUUCUCUAACAUAGGACAUGGAUGACGGUACCCGGACUAAGAAGCACCGGCUAACUACGUGCC
RNAcentral lists this ribosomal RNA (105 nucleotides) under uncultured bacterium. RNAcentral describes it as "partial 16S ribosomal RNA". The record is from RNAcentral.